Molecule: ribosomal RNA, 765 nt
Filed under: uncultured Streptococcus sp.
Lineage: Bacteria; Bacillati; Bacillota; Bacilli; Lactobacillales; Streptococcaceae
Description: bacterial SSU rRNA
Rfam family: Bacterial small subunit ribosomal RNA
Source: RNAcentral
GACGAACGCUGGCGGCGUGCCUAAUACAUGCAAGUAGAACGCUGAAGCUUGGUGCUUGCACCGAGCGGAUGAGUUGCGAACGGGUGAGUAACGCGUAGGUAACCUGCCUGGUAGCGGGGGAUAACUAUUGGAAACGAUAGCUAAUACCGCAUAAAAUGGAUUAUCGCAUGAUAAUCGAUUGAAAGGUGCAAAUGCAUCACUACCAGAUGGACCUGCGUUGUAUUAGCUAGUUGGUGGGGUAACGGCUCACCAAGGCGACGAUACAUAGCCGACCUGAGAGGGUGAUCGGCCACACUGGGACUGAGACACGGCCCAGACUCUUACGGGAGGCAGCAGUAGGGAAUCUUCGGCAAUGGACGGAAGUCUGACCGAGCAACGCCGCGUGAGUGAAGAAGGUUUUCGGAUCGUAAAGCUCUGUUGUAAGAGAAGAACGAGUGUGAGAGUGGAAAGUUCACACUGUGACGGUAUCUUACCAGAAAGGGACGGCUAACUACGUGCCAGCAGCCGCGGUAAUACGUAGGUCCCGAGCGUUGUCCGGAUUUAUUGGGCGUAAAGCGAGCGCAGGCGGUUAGAUAAGUCUGAAGUUAAAGGCUGUGGCUUAACCAUAGUACGCUUUGGAAACUGUUUAACUUGAGUGCAAGAGGGGAGAGUGGAAUUCCAUGUGUAGCGGUGAAAUGCGUAGAUAUAUGGAGGAACACCGGUGGCGAAAGCGGCUCUCUGGCUUGUAACUGACGCUGAGGCUCGAAAGCGUGGGGAGCAAACAGG